CAACAGUUCCACCUAUACCAUAGUCAAUACAUACCUACCAAACGUAAACCAGGGGACAUACUUCAGUAACCUACUAAAACUCACAACUCAACUGCAAACAGGUACCACGAUCAUCUGUGGGGACUACAAUCAGUUCCAAGACCCCACACUAGACUCCUCAGCAAAACACACAACCAGUAGGGCAAAAACACUGCACAGACAGUGCAAAGCCUUAAC
This is a non-coding RNA of Pelobates cultripes (western spadefoot toad), 216 nucleotides long. The record is from the annotation of a GenBank genome assembly. Lineage: Eukaryota; Metazoa; Chordata; Amphibia; Anura; Pelobatidae.